GCACCCAUAUUCUAUAACUAUUUAAUAUAAAUUAGCCAGUGCCAUACAAUACAAUCUAUGAACAAUUAAACCGUAGUAUUGUAUAAGGACAGAGCUGGAUGAAUUGCCAUGCACAAAAUGUGUUUCUGAAACAUUUUUCUGCUACAGCUAAAAUUUCUUCAACUCAGUCCCUGCUGAGAGUGCCUGCAAAGUUUAAUAUAGCUUAUCCAGACAGCUUUCACAAUAAGCUGAAGGUGAACCAGCCCAACAUAGUUGCUAGUGAAACUGAAAUGGAAAUAGUUCUUUCCCGAUCCUUAUUAUUGUGGUUAAAGUGCAGAGGAAUUCUCUUAGGGUUCAUCUAGACUUUUGAAACGUGUUGCAACAUGGUGGGUUUCACUGCUGUAUUUCAAGAGAGUGUGCCAUGCAGGCAGCCACUUGGCCUGGAAGGACUUGAAGACUAGCUAGUCCAAUGGCAAAUCACUAUGAGCUUUGGACCUGAGCUAUUUGUUGUUGGAAAACAUCUGUGGUAAUGGGCUAGGCAUCUCUUCCUGACACGAUUUUCCAUUUUGUCAAAACUUGCUCAUUUCACCAUCUAAAAUGGAAUUGUCUUAGACCCUCUCUGAUACUUAUAUUUCUGAUGCUAGACUUGUGCUGCAACUACUGUUCUCAAUAGUGCUUGAUAUCCUUUCUAAAACAUCAUCCUUUGGAAUAACAAGGUGCCUGUCAAAGUUGCCAGUAUGUGUAGGCAUCAUAGAGCUGUACAGGGACCAUACAGUGUUGCUCAUUCUGCAAAGUAAAGUAAGCCAGCAGCACCGGAAAAAUGUGCAAGGAGAUGCGAAUGUUCCAUACUGCCAGAAGGCACAGAGGAAAGUUGUGGGUGUUGUUGAUUCUGCUACCAAAUAUUUUGAUACCAAUUACAGAGUGGUACAGGCAGGGAUGUUUUCAGCACACCAACGAGACAGAAGUACAAAUACUGAGUCAGAGCUAAAAAGUGUGGAAAAUCACUUGCACCGCAACAGAUGUAUAACAGAAGACACUUAUGUAUAGCAGAGAAUGAAUCAGAGAGGCCAGGCACAACACUGCAUUUUAUGCAGAGGGUGAUGGUUUAUGUCUUGCACAUGAAGUUGUUGGAAUAUUUUUGUUUCAAUUGCCAGUCUUAAGACAACCUGUAGGUAUUAACUGUUUCCCAUGCUAACAUCUGAAUAGGCUUUUUAAAAAUGAAGUAUUUUCCUUAUCUUUAUGAGUAGAACUUCCUUGGUUGGUCAUGUUUGAAUCUACAGAAACUGUAGCUAUCAGGCUCUUUUCUGAGGUAGAUUUUCUUAGUCCAUCUAUUAAUUUAGCUUUAUUUGUCCUUGACUCCUUAUCAUUUUCUUGUUCAACAUAUCAGUCUUGACUUAUGGCAUGUUUUAACCCUGGAACUAGCUUUUGUACCACCAUAAAUUUACUUCUACAAAGGUAACCUGUGUCUUGAACUGAACCCUACCUAUAUUGUAUAUACUUUUAGUUUGCAAAUGCUACCAUGUGUGACAAGCAGAGGACAUUCACAGGGUAGCUACACUGUAAAGUGACUCAAUCAAGGAUAGAAAUUGGUUUGGGCAGGACAAGGAGUGGUUUCUAUCCAUGGUAUAUGUCCCCUGAUCUUUCAGGAAAAUGUUAAUGAGUGCAGUUGUCAUGAAUAGAAUGAAAGAGUGAAACAAAGAACAAUUCCACACUGGCUGUCCAAAAUUGCACAGCUAGUAAGAAGGACAUGGGGAAAAUGGAUUAGUUUUUUUUUUCCAUAGGAGCUGUUUUUCCCAGCAACAUGAUGAUGUAGCAAAGUACUGGGCUGAGGAAACAUCUUUCUCCAAUGGUGUUUCUCAAAUUUCCUUUUCCACUGCAGUGUUUUAUCUAUAUUUGUUUAUAAUAUUGCAAAUUUAUCCAUCAUCAUAAUCAUCAUCAUCAUCUUUUUUUAUAAUGCCCUUUCCACCAAAGAGUAGAACAUCAAGCACAUACUGUAUAAUUAAAAACAGAUGAUAAAACACAAGGCCAUAAAAUGCUAAAAUACUAAAAUAAUAUGCUAAUAUACUAAAACAAACCCCUUGAACAGUUCUACUUAAACCCAGCUAUAUGGGCUGUGUGGUCCUGUUGCCAUUGAGAUGUAAGCUGCUGAGCAGAACUGCAGUCUUUCUAAAAUCUAAAAGUAGCACCAGCAACUUUCAUUAUAAGAUUUUUGUGCCUGUCAUACUUUUUGAAAACUGAAUAAUCAUUUUGGUGUGGAGCUCAUGACUGCAGUAUAUUCAGACAAAAGGGAAAAUGGCACCAGCAUUUUUCAGGAGGUAAAGUAUGUUAGGCUAUUGAACAAUCAGUGCUUUUGGGGGGAGAGGAGAUACCAAUAAAUAGAGAGAACACUGUUUUGACUCUUUUUUGCCCAACAAAAUAAUUCUCUAUUUUAUUUUCAACUAUUUAUUCAGUCUUGGUCUUCUGCCAGUUUAUGAUGAUUUCUUGAAGUCCCUCUCUGCAGACUGCCUAAGGUGGCUUGCUUUCAAUUACAUUCUCCCUUGUGAGCCUGAUAAACACCACCAGCCUGUUGUAUGCCCCAAGAGGUGAUUUGUUCAGAUUUGGCAAGGGUGUGGAAAGUGAAGGAGAAGAGGCAUUUUCAUUGUGCAAAAUAAAUAUACUUACUGUGGCCUUCUGUCUGGAGGAAACAUUGGAUAACAUAAGAAUUUUAUUGGCCACUGAUGAAGACUGUGAGUUGGAAUGCGUUUGACUUCUGUUUUUAUGAAGAAUCUGAUGAGACCUUGGGGCAUCUAUUUUCCUUCGACAAAUGAUUUAUACCUUAUAGACCUUCUCCCAUAUUGCUGUUUAUAGUUUGGACUGUUUAGUUUUAAUUUGAAAAAUUUAUUAUUUUAGAAAUCUAUUUUAUUUGUUAUAUACUGUUACAUACACACACAUUUUAUAUUAUAUGCUUUCUAAAUGUGUGGCACUACAGAUAUAAGUAGAAAUAGUUUGGGGAUUAUAGGAGUUGUAGUCUAAAUCAUUUGAAGGAUGCUGGGUUGGACUGCCUCAAAUCCCCACCCCCCAAAGAGACGACAGCUGCAUUCUUCCUGUCUCUUAAGUGGUUGCCAUGUUCUUUAUUUUUAGAGAUUGAAUUGAGCCUCCUAGAUGGAUGUAAAAAGUUUUGGAUUCUUAGUAAAAGGCCCUGCACAAAAUGUUGCCUCUUACACAAGUUGUAUUAAGCCUCCUUCUUGAGGAGCUGUCAGCCUGAAUGCCCUCAAAAUUUAGCUUUCACAGUUUUCCAUCUGGGUCUUGGAUGAAGCCGAAAAACUGUUUCAGAUUUGUCUGUUCUUAAGAGAGAAAAUUAAAGUCAUAUACACACACCUGCUAAAUUAAAAUGUUAACAGUUUUCCCAACAAUUCCUUGUCUCCAUGCCAAAUACUAUAUAUGUGACUACAUAUGUAACUACAUGUCUUCACUAGUGCUUAAAAAGCCUUAUUCUGACCCAGUGCUUAGCAGCAUGAAAUUGCAUCCCCAGUAUAUCAUACUCUCCAAGUGCCCCAAUUUGGCAGGGACUGUCCUGAUUUAUCUGACUGUCCCACUUUCUCAGCAGCUUUAAAGAUGUCCCAGUUUCACUCUGUACCUUCCACUUUGUCUCUUUAUCUUCAGCUUAUUGCUGAAAAAUGAGUCCAAAGUAGAAAAGUAGGUUGCACUCAAUUAACUCAGCAGGGAGGAAGAAGAUGGGAGAGGAGACAAUCUUGCACUUCCCAAUAGGCUUAGGCAAAAGCAAAUUGCUGCAGCCUCUCCUAGCUUGUGUCUUCUUUAUCAGUUACUUCUGCCAUCUUGACCAUGCUAUGAUGAUGAUUGGCCACAGAUAUCUAGGUUUUCAACUGUGAAAUCUGUAUGUGCAUUGUGAUUCUCUUGUAAAUCGGCACCUGUUGUUAAAUACAUAAAAAUCUAGCAUAGUUGCUAAUGA
Molecule: long non-coding RNA, 3928 nt
Organism: Sceloporus undulatus (fence lizard)
Lineage: Eukaryota; Metazoa; Chordata; Lepidosauria; Squamata; Phrynosomatidae
Exons: 2
Source: RefSeq, a predicted model, not a curated record